GGUUAAGCGACUAAGCGUACACGGUGGAUGCCCUGGCAGUCAGAGGCGAUGAAGGACGUGCUAAUCUGCGAUAAGCGUCGGUAAGGUGAUAUGAACCGUUAUAACCGGCGAUUUCCGAAUGGGGAAACCCAGUGUGUUUCGACACACUAUCAUUAACUGAAUCCAUAGGUUAAUGAGGCGAACCGGGGGAACUGAAACAUCUAAGUACCCCGAGGAAAAGAAAUCAACCGAGAUUCCCCCAGUAGCGGCGAGCGAACGGGGAGCAGCCCAGAGCCUGAAUCAGUGUGUGUGUUAGUGGAAGCGUCUGGAAAGGCGCGCGAUACAGGGUGACAGCCCCGUACACAAAAAUGCACAUGCUGUGAGCUCGAUGAGUAGGGCGGGACACGUGGUAUCCUGUCUGAAUAUGGGGGGACCAUCCUCCAAGGCUAAAUACUCCUGACUGACCGAUAGUGAACCAGUACCGUGAGGGAAAGGCGAAAAGAACCCCGGCGAGGGGAGUGAAAAAGAACCUGAAACCGUGUACGUACAAGCAGUGGGAGCACGCUUAGGCGUGUGACUGCGUACCUUUUGUAUAAUGGGUCAGCGACUUAUAUUCUGUAGCAAGGUUAACCGAAUAGGGGAGCCGAAGGGAAACCGAGUCUUAACUGGGCGUUAAGUUGCAGGGUAUAGACCCGAAACCCGGUGAUCUAGCCAUGGGCAGGUUGAAGGUUGGGUAACACUAACUGGAGGACCGAACCGACUAAUGUUGAAAAAUUAGCGGAUGACUUGUGGCUGGGGGUGAAAGGCCAAUCAAACCGGGAGAUAGCUGGUUCUCCCCGAAAGCUAUUUAGGUAGCGCCUCGUGAAUUCAUCUCCGGGGGUAGAGCACUGUUUCGGCAAGGGGGUCAUCCCGACUUACCAACCCGAUGCAAACUGCGAAUACCGGAGAAUGUUAUCACGGGAGACACACGGCGGGUGCUAACGUCCGUCGUGAAGAGGGAAACAACCCAGACCGCCAGCUAAGGUCCCAAAGUCAUGGUUAAGUGGGAAACGAUGUGGGAAGGCCCAGACAGCCAGGAUGUUGGCUUAGAAGCAGCCAUCAUUUAAAGAAAGCGUAAUAGCUCACUGGUCGAGUCGGCCUGCGCGGAAGAUGUAACGGGGCUAAACCAUGCACCGAAGCUGCGGCAGCGACGCUUAUGCGUUGUUGGGUAGGGGAGCGUUCUGUAAGCCUGUGAAGGUGUGCUGUGAGGCAUGCUGGAGGUAUCAGAAGUGCGAAUGCUGACAUAAGUAACGAUAAAGCGGGUGAAAAGCCCGCUCGCCGGAAGACCAAGGGUUCCUGUCCAACGUUAAUCGGGGCAGGGUGAGUCGACCCCUAAGGCGAGGCCGAAAGGCGUAGUCGAUGGGAAACAGGUUAAUAUUCCUGUACUUGGUGUUACUGCGAAGGGGGGACGGAGAAGGCUAUGUUGGCCGGGCGACGGUUGUCCCGGUUUAAGCGUGUAGGCUGGUUUUCCAGGCAAAUCCGGAAAAUCAAGGCUGAGGCGUGAUGACGAGGCACUACGGUGCUGAAGCAACAAAUGCCCUGCUUCCAGGAAAAGCCUCUAAGCAUCAGGUAACAUCAAAUCGUACCCCAAACCGACACAGGUGGUCAGGUAGAGAAUACCAAGGCGCUUGAGAGAACUCGGGUGAAGGAACUAGGCAAAAUGGUGCCGUAACUUCGGGAGAAGGCACGCUGAUAUGUAGGUGAAGUCCCUCGCGGAUGGAGCUGAAAUCAGUCGAAGAUACCAGCUGGCUGCAACUGUUUAUUAAAAACACAGCACUGUGCAAACACGAAAGUGGACGUAUACGGUGUGACGCCUGCCCGGUGCCGGAAGGUUAAUUGAUGGGGUUAGCGGUAACGCGAAGCUCUUGAUCGAAGCCCCGGUAAACGGCGGCCGUAACUAUAACGGUCCUAAGGUAGCGAAAUUCCUUGUCGGGUAAGUUCCGACCUGCACGAAUGGCGUAAUGAUGGCCAGGCUGUCUCCACCCGAGACUCAGUGAAAUUGAACUCGCUGUGAAGAUGCAGUGUACCCGCGGCAAGACGGAAAGACCCCGUGAACCUUUACUAUAGCUUGACACUGAACAUUGAGCCUUGAUGUGUAGGAUAGGUGGGAGGCUU
This 2133-nucleotide ribosomal RNA is filed under the name Escherichia coli. RNAcentral's name for it is "partial 23S ribosomal RNA". It matches the Rfam family "Bacterial large subunit ribosomal RNA", at positions 1 to 2157 of the family's 2925-position model. The record is from RNAcentral. RNAcentral also lists the same sequence under 1 other name. Lineage: Bacteria; Pseudomonadati; Pseudomonadota; Gammaproteobacteria; Enterobacterales; Enterobacteriaceae.